AAAUGAUGCAAUUGGUCCCAUAUUUUUUGGAAUUAAAAUGAAAGAGUUAUGAAUUUUUGAAGUUAAAUGAAAUAAAAGAAAUAAAAUGGAAAUUAUAAAAAUCAGAAAAAAAACCACAGCGCUUGGAUGGAACCUCAUUAAUUGACGUGUCCAAUUUGAUGGUCAUGAAGCGCGCGCGUACCAAAGGCUCAAGUAAAACACGUCACACAAUGCAUUUAAAAAAGUCAUAACAAACAAAG
RNAcentral lists this long non-coding RNA (239 nucleotides) under Lathyrus oleraceus (garden pea). RNAcentral describes it as "Pisum sativum (pea) long non-coding RNA (PSAT_LNC000555)". Lineage: Eukaryota; Viridiplantae; Streptophyta; Magnoliopsida; Fabales; Fabaceae. The record is from RNAcentral.